Biomphalaria pfeifferi is the source of this 1274-nucleotide non-coding RNA. The record is from the annotation of a GenBank genome assembly. Lineage: Eukaryota; Metazoa; Mollusca; Gastropoda; Planorbidae.
CUUGUUUCAGUUCGAAAUGUUUUUAUUUUUUUUUUUUUUUUUCGGAGGAGGAAAGUUCUAUGGUAUAGUACCAUUAUUAUUAUUGUAUUAAGCAAACUUGUAUAUGUAUGUUUAUUCAUGAAUACUAAUGAAGAACAUCACUUCUGGGUCAUCUAACAAAAAUGUUGUAAACACUGUACAUGUCUUCAGUUAACCUUGAAUAUUCUAUAGAGUCACAACACCAAAGCCUUGCUACAUUAUGCUUAAUUCAAUUUAUUAUCUGCCCUGCUUUUGUGUGCUAUCAUAUUAAUGUUCAUUAGUGUCACUUCCCUGCACAAUUUGUUCUAUGCUCUUUAUAGUGUAAAUAGUGACUUGACAUUAUUUAGCUCUACUAAAAUAUUAUUAUAUUUAAAAUAAAACUGUUAACAUUGACUAUGCUGUUAUUAAUAUAAAAGCUUUGCUGUGCUGCUAUAAAUGCAGUUUUGAGGUUUAGUCUAAGGGCAUCAUAGAUGAGAAAUAUAGUUACACUCCCCUUAACAGUUCAAAAUAAAAUGUUCCAUAAAUAAAGAAUCUAUUCAUAUUUACUAUUUGGUAUUGACAGACUUCACUCCAGCAUUGAGCUCAUCCCCUUAGUCUAGUUAAAACUUUAAAAUACUACUUCCCUUUGUCUUGUCUAAUGGUGAUCAUGGGGUAUCCACUUUGUCAUCUCCAUAGUCUCAGGUGUAAACACUCACUGUCCUGUUGGAGGUUAGGGCUAGGAUAUAAUCUCUGUUUCUGAUGGAACACAUGUAAAACCAAUAGUAGACCUAGACUUUAUUAACAGGUCAUGCAAACAUUUUUUAUCUGGCUCUCCCAGAGCUAUUUUUAUGUAUUUUUAUUUUUACUACUUUUGUAGGCUAGUGCUAAGCUGUAUACUUGUACUUCCCCUUAUUAUUAUAUAGGUUAGUGCAAUGCUGUUUACUGUACUGUUGACCAGUGGUCUGUAUGUCAGUUUUAAUUAUUGUGUACCUGGAACUGCCUGUUAGUUUCAAAAUUAUUUUUCUUUUUUUAAUUUUACUAUGUGUAAAUCUAUUUAAUUUUUUAGCAAUAUAUGUUACAUUAUUUUUCUAAUUGGAACAACUGUCAAAAUAAAUGACAAUAUGUUUUUAAAAAUAUGGCCAAGCUCCGCCCUGUGAUGUCAUAAUGGCCACUUCUAAUGUUUAUGUACUAGAUCUUGUCCUUAUGUUUUUUUUAGCUGCAGUGUUUUCUAACUGCUGCUAUAGUCAUUGAAAUUAAAGUCUGAUUUUUUAAAUUUC